GACGAACGCUGGCGGCGUGCCUAAUACAUGCAAGUAGAACGCUGAAGGAGGAGCUUGCUUCUCUGGAUGAGUUGCGAACGGGUGAGUAACGCGUAGGUAACCUGCCUGGUAGCGGGGGAUAACUAUUGGAAACGAUAGCUAAUACCGCAUAAGAGUAGAUGUUGCAUGACAUUUGCUUAAAAGGUGCAAUUGCAUCACUACCAGAUGGACCUGCGUUGUAUUAGCUAGUUGGUGGGGUAACGGCUCACCAAGGCGACGAUACAUAGCCGACCUGAGAGGGUGAUCGGCCACACUGGGACUGAGACACGGCCCAGACUCCUACGGGAGGCAGCAGUAGGGAAUCUUCAGCAAUGGACGGAAGUCUGACCGAGCAACGCCGCGUGAGUGAAGAAGGUUUUCGGAUCGUAAAGCUCUGUUGUAAGAGAAGAACGAGUGUGAGAGUGGAAAGUUCACACUGUGACGGUAUCUUACCAGAAAGGGACGGCUAACUACGUG
Molecule: ribosomal RNA, 495 nt
Filed under: uncultured bacterium
Lineage: Bacteria
Description: partial 16S ribosomal RNA
Rfam family: Bacterial small subunit ribosomal RNA
Source: RNAcentral